RNAcentral lists this ribosomal RNA (301 nucleotides) under uncultured bacterium. RNAcentral describes it as "partial 16S ribosomal RNA". It matches the Rfam family "Bacterial small subunit ribosomal RNA", at positions 509 to 807 of the family's 1533-position model. The record is from RNAcentral.
CAGCAGCCACGGUAAAACAGAGGGUGCGAGCGUUAAUCGGAUUUACUGGGCGUAAAGCGUGCGUAGGCGGCUUCUUAAGUCGGAUGUGAAAUCCCUGAGCUUAACUUAGGAAUUGCAUUCGAUACUGGGAAGCUAGAGUAUGGGAGAGGAUGGUAGAAUUCCAGGUGUAGCGGUGAAAUGCGUAGAGAUCUGGAGGAAUACCGAUGGCGAAGGCAGCCAUCUGGCCUAAUACUGACGCUGAGGUACGAAAGCAUGGGGAGCAAACAGGAUUAGAGACCCCAGUAGUCCCUGUCUCUUAUAC